UAUAUGGAAAGACUUUCUUCUCAUUGGUCAACUCAUAUGUCAUACGACGACUUCCGGAAAUUGGCGUCUCCAUGAAUACCCAGAGAUCCGUAUCUCUUCGUGACGGGUAUUUCAAUUUUUGUGUUUUUUUUUAUAAAAAAUGAGUUUUGUGUACACUGUUUGUUCGUAAAUUCUUGUUUAUGCAUCGCUCAGCUUCUGCAAAAAAUGGUGUCCCGACGAAUUGGAUCAAAGGGUGACGCUCCAGAGCACGACGCAGCCUUCUUCCGUAGAGGAAACCUGGAUCAUCCCCCGAACUUGAUGUUCUGCCUUAGAUGACCUAUGUAGCAUGCAUAGGGCCGUAUCCAAGGAGUCACCACCCUCUGGUUUACAAGCUAGGUGUUCUAAUGCUAGAGGCUUCGGCCGGAUACGACCUGGCACCCAAGCUUCGAGAUUUCGUGCACGUAUUGCGUUGGACCUCGAGGGCGUAGGGGACGGGAUACGGAUACUCUUUAUGGAUAGAAAUUCGGGGUAGGAUACCCCAACUCAACCUAGAACCAACUAAAGAUAAUUCGAGUUCGUCGCUCAUUUAAAUCGAAGAAGAUUUCAGAUGAAAUAUUGCAAGACGCCUGUGAUUAGUCCUAGAGCUUCUUUGGAUUCUCCCAAUCACCGUCGAGUACUUGUUUAAGUACCAACUCUACAGAAUCGUCCGAUGUCCAGAGAGUUGCAGACAUUUUAGAAGUGGUCAAUGCAGUGCUCAUUAUGAGAAAGCACUUUUCUUCAGCUGAAUAUUCCUUCUAUAAAUGAAAUACAGCAAUAUGGUCUAAAGCCUCUGUUCUGUCCUCUCUUACACUCACAAUGUAACAGCUGUAAAACUAGAUUGUCCUAGCUCAUGUAACAAUCUGACAGUUGUAACGUUCUGUUACACAUGGAAUACUACAUGUUGAUGGAACAGCAGCUGUAAAUUGUCUUGACUUCAAAUCUCAUAAUUGAUAAAACUACCAGCAUUCUUCUUAAAGGUAUUUAUUUUGCUGCUUUUGGCUGUUGCUUCAAUACCAAAAGGAGUCUAUAUGUAUAGGAGUUUAUUUUUAUUCUGGUACUGUUAUAAAACUUGAUAAUCUGGACAAACUUCAGACU
RNAcentral lists this long non-coding RNA (1113 nucleotides) under Sitophilus oryzae (rice weevil). RNAcentral's name for it is "uncharacterized LOC115887139, transcript variant X3". Lineage: Eukaryota; Metazoa; Arthropoda; Insecta; Coleoptera; Curculionidae. The record is from RNAcentral.